GUAGGUGGCAAGCGUUGUCCGGAAUUAUUGGGCGUAAAGCGCGCGCAGGCGGUUCUUUAAGUCUGAUGUGAAAGCCCACGGCUCAACCGUGGAGGGUCAUUGGAAACUGGAGAACUUGAGUACAGAAGAGGAAAGCGGAAUUCCACGUGUAGCGGUGAAAUGCGUAGAGAUGUGGAGGAACACCAGUGGCGAAGGCGGCUUUCUGGUCUGUAACUGACGCUGAGGCGCGAAAGCGUGGGGAGCAAACAGGGAUUAGAUACCCUGGUAGUCCACGCCGUAAACGAUGAGUGCUAAGUGUUAGGGGGGUUUUCCGCCCCCCUUAGUGCUGCAGCUAACGCAUUAAGCACUCCGCCUGGGGAUACGGCCGCAAGGCUG
Molecule: ribosomal RNA, 375 nt
Filed under: uncultured organism
Description: partial 16S ribosomal RNA
Rfam family: Bacterial small subunit ribosomal RNA
Source: RNAcentral